Long non-coding RNA from Pollicipes pollicipes, 378 nucleotides. RefSeq lists it as uncharacterized. The record is from RefSeq and is a predicted model, not a curated record. The transcript is spliced from 2 exons. Lineage: Eukaryota; Metazoa; Arthropoda; Thecostraca; Pollicipedomorpha; Pollicipedidae.
AGCCUGAGGGCGUCGCCGAUCGGCAGAGCCCGGCUGAAGGCGCAGCGUGUCGAGAGCGCCACGCCAGCCAUGCGACUCCUCUGCUUACUGCUCGGUUUGAGUGUACUUGGAAAAGUGCUGUCAGGGAAAGUGGAUUUUAUUCCAUGCCAUCCUCGAGACCCCUGCCCGCCACUUACUCCGUACUGCUGUCACGCCGCCUGGAGCUCCAGCUGUCUCUGCCUACCUGGCGGAUGCGGCAAACUGGGCCGAUGCUUCAUCGAUGGAUGAACGGCAAUGAUGUUUACUGAUGAAGAUUUUCAGACCGCUUUACAGGAAGCAUUGUGACAGCAGGUAGCAUUACGCUCUUAAGUACCCAUAAAAUAAACAUGGAGUCUGUAA